GACGAACGCUGGCGGCGUGCUUAACACAUGCAAGUCGAGCGGUAAGGCCCUUCGGGGUACACGAGCGGCGAACGGGUGAGUAACACGUGGGUGACCUGCCUCUAGCUCUGGGAUAAGCCUGGGAAACUGGGUCUAAUACCGGAUAUGACUCCACGGCGCAUGUUGUGGGGUGGAAAGCCUUGUGUGGCUAGAGAUGGGGCCCGCGGCCUAUCAGCUUGUUGGUGGGGUGANGGCCUACCAAGGCGACGACGGGUAGCCGGCCUGAGAGGGCGACCGGCCACACUGGGACUGAGACACGGCCCAGACUCCUACGGGAGGCAGCAGUGGGGAAUCUUGCGCAAUGGGCGAAAGCCUGACGCAGCGACGCCGCGUGAGGGAU
This 379-nucleotide ribosomal RNA is filed under the name uncultured bacterium. RNAcentral's name for it is "bacterial SSU rRNA". It matches the Rfam family "Bacterial small subunit ribosomal RNA", at positions 28 to 409 of the family's 1533-position model. The record is from RNAcentral.